UGGGUAACCUGCCUCAAAGAGGGGAAUAGCCUCCCGAAAAGGGAGAUUAAUACCGCAUAAUAUGUUUAAGUCGCAUGACUUUAACAUCAAAGGAUUUUCUUUUAAGAAAUUCCACUUUGAGAUGGACCCCGCGGCGCAUUAGCUAGUUGGUGAGGUAACGGCUCACCAAGGCAACGAUGCGUAGCCGACCUGAGAGGGUGAUCGGCCACAUUGGAACUGAGACACGGCCCAGACUCCGUAGGAG
This 244-nucleotide ribosomal RNA is filed under the name uncultured bacterium. Its description in RNAcentral is "partial 16S ribosomal RNA". It matches the Rfam family "Bacterial small subunit ribosomal RNA", at positions 118 to 347 of the family's 1533-position model. The record is from RNAcentral.